GUUAAUCUAAUUCCAUCUUGCCUACUUUAUUAUGUAGGCUUAAUUUGUACGUUAUGCUUUUGUGGCUGUGUUAUUUUUCAAUUUACUUUAGCUGUUAUGGUUUCAAACAGCUGAACUAUCAUGUGUGUGUAAGGGACACUCCAUAAGCACAAGCAAAUAAACAAAUCUAAACAAGGAAGGACGUUCACUGCUUAAUGGACAAAUGAGUUAGAAGUCUGUAUUCUGUGAACCAUGCUUUCUGCCUUGUGGAUGUCGAAAGUUGACUUCUGUGGAUUUGUUCGCUUCUGAGGAGUAAUCCUAAGGUGACUUUUUCUUUUUCGAGAGGCCGCUUUGUUUUUCCCCUUAUUUUUAAGGGGGUACAACUUUGGAUUGACGUCAUUAUAUUUCCAUAUGAUCAGUGUUUUAAAUAUCGGCCGCCAUGUCGGACAUGGCGGCCGAUAUGGCGGUUUUAUACCCUAGCCGCCACGAUAUCCUUCAUUUCAAUGCGUAUUGCGUUUCUGAGGUCAUGUCGGGGACAUGUCGGAAAAUAUCGGGUAUGUCGGGCGCUAUUGCGGCCAAGAAAUAUCGGCCAAAUUUAAAAAAAAAA
This is a long non-coding RNA of Asparagus officinalis (garden asparagus), 586 nucleotides long. RefSeq lists it as uncharacterized. The transcript is spliced from 2 exons. The record is from RefSeq and is a predicted model, not a curated record. Lineage: Eukaryota; Viridiplantae; Streptophyta; Magnoliopsida; Asparagales; Asparagaceae.